This 289-nucleotide ribosomal RNA is filed under the name uncultured Prevotella sp. Its description in RNAcentral is "partial 16S ribosomal RNA". Lineage: Bacteria; Pseudomonadati; Bacteroidota; Bacteroidia; Bacteroidales; Prevotellaceae. The record is from RNAcentral.
CUACAGGGGUUUCUAAUCCUGUUCGAUACCCGCACUUUCGAGCUUCAGCGUCAGUAGUGCUCCCGUCAGCUGCCUUCGCAAUCGGAGUUCUUCGUCAUAUCUAAGCAUUUCACCGCUACACGACGAAUUCCGCCAACGUUGCGCACACUCAAGCUCUGCAGUUCGCGCUGCAAGUUACCGGUUGAGCCGGCAAAUUUCACAACACGCUUACAAAGCGGCCUACGCUCCCUUUAAACCCAAUAAAUCCGGAUAACGCCCGGACCUUCCGUAUUACCGCGGCUGCUGGCAC